GAUGAACGCUGGCGGCGUGCCUAAUACAUGCAAGUCGAGCGAACGGACGAGAAGCUUGCUUCUCUGAUGUUAGCGGCGGACGGGUGAGUAACACGUGGAUAACCUACCUAUAAGACUGGGAUAACUUCGGGAAACCGGAGCUAAUACCGGAUAAUAUUUUGAACCGCAUGGUUCAAAAGUGAAAGACGGUCUUGCUGUCACUUAUAGAUGGAUCCGCGCUGCAUUAGCUAGUUGGUAAGGUAACGGCUUACCAAGGCAACGAUGCAUGGCCGACCUGAGAGGGUGAUCGGCCACACUGGAACUGAGACACGGUCCAGACUCCUACGGGAGGCAGCAGUAGGGAAUCUUCCGCAAUGGGCGAAAGCCUGACGGAGCAACGCCGCGUGAGUGAUGAAGGUCUUCGGAUCGUAAAACUCUGUUAUUAGGGAAGAACAUAUGUGUAAGUAACUGUGCACAUCUUGACGGUACCUAAUCAGAAAGCCACGGCUAACUACGUG
This 497-nucleotide ribosomal RNA is filed under the name uncultured bacterium. RNAcentral describes it as "partial 16S ribosomal RNA". It matches the Rfam family "Bacterial small subunit ribosomal RNA", at positions 28 to 507 of the family's 1533-position model. The record is from RNAcentral.